RNAcentral lists this long non-coding RNA (344 nucleotides) under Trifolium pratense (red clover). RNAcentral describes it as "long non-coding RNA (TPRA_LNC013413)". The record is from RNAcentral. Lineage: Eukaryota; Viridiplantae; Streptophyta; Magnoliopsida; Fabales; Fabaceae.
GAAUCUUUUACCGGUAAAAGGAAGGUUGAGUUGCUCAAAAGCAAGCAUUGUGAUGAUGUGGCAUGCUUUAGAGAGCUUCUCAUAUCUAUUUAAAAUUUGUCCCACAAUUUAUUUUGUGUGUCCAUUCAUCCUCCAAAAUAAUUAUCUAUAUGUUACAAUAAUAAUGGCUCCCAAUAAUAAUGAAAGAAAGAAAAGAAAAAAAAGAUCAAAUUACAAAAGAACAAUGAAUAAAUAUACGCUCUUUCAUAUUUUACACUACCAAACAUAAAAUAUAAAUCAUGCAUGCGUAAAUAUGAUUUGCAAUUUGUAAAAUUUUACUUUAAAUAAAUAAACCAAAUAAAAAA